AUGGUGCAUGUACGACCAAAUCUUCACAAAUUGAUCUCAAUACGGAAGUUGAAGUACAUGACAUCGAUUCUGAUGAAAUCAAUGCUUCCCCUGGUGUCUUCACCAAGAAGUCAACUACCAUUGAGCCAGAAAAAAAAGAAGUCCCCUGGAAGUGGAUCCAAGGAAACUGCAAGAGGACAAAAACGGACAGCCGAUGAUGCCAUAAUAGCAAUUGAUCGCCUUGCAGAUGCAUCACUUAGCAUUGCUGAAGCAAAGAAAACAAUAGCACAACAAACUGAAGCUUACUCGGUUAAAUCUUGUAUGGCAAUACUAAAUAGUAUGAGUAAUCUAGAUCCUAAUGAGAAACUAAAAGCGGUAAAGUCAUUUACAGAUGGUGAUAAACGGGCCAUUUUCAUUGAGAUGGAUGAAGAGACGCGGAAGCUCUGGUUUGGUAUUGUUCAUUGUUAUCCGUCUCAAAAUGUAAUGGAGGCAAAAGUCAGGCUUGAUAAGAAAACUCCUUAUAGAAACAGACAUGGUUAUCCGUCUCAAAAUGUAAUGGCAGUAGUGUCAUUUAACAUGACAUUCUCUUAUGUCGCUGCUGGAUGGGAGGGUUCUGCAUCGGAUCAAGCUGUUCUAAGAUGGGCUGUGACUAGUGGGGGUUUAGUUGUUCCUGAAGGUAAAUUUUACCUUGUUGAUUCAGGUUACGCAAAUACUCCAAGAUUUAUUGCCCCGUAUCGUGGAGAUCGCUAUCAUAUUGCUUCUUUUCGUGGAAGUAAUCGGCGAUAUACUAGUGAGAAGGACUUGUUCAACCAUCUACAUGCAUAG
RNAcentral lists this ribosomal RNA (804 nucleotides) under Triticum aestivum (bread wheat). RNAcentral's name for it is "partial small subunit ribosomal RNA". Lineage: Eukaryota; Viridiplantae; Streptophyta; Magnoliopsida; Poales; Poaceae. The record is from RNAcentral.